AUAUAUCGGCUAUGGAUGAGCUUGCGGGGUAUUAGGUUGUUGGUGUGGUAAUGGCGCACCAAGCCUGAGAUGCCUAGCCGGUUUGAGAGAAUGAUCGGCCACACUGGGACUGAGACACGGCCCAGACGCUUACGAGCGGCAGCAGUGGGGAAUCUUGGACAAUGGGCGCAAGCCUGAUCCAGUGAUAUCGCUUUGGGGAUGACGGCGACAUACGUUGUAAACCCUAUGCACUUUAUAUAGACAUUGACCGUGUAAAGUGUCCAAGUCCCGGCUAAUUUCGUGCCAGCAGCCGCGGUAAUACGAGAGGGGCAAGCGUUAUUCAAAAUGAUUGGGCGUAAAGCGCACGUAGGUGGUGGUAUGGUGUGGUAUGUAUUCAAACCAUGGGUUUUGUCGAUAGAUACAGACAUCAUAUCACUUGAGGACGUGAAAGGAGCAUGGAAUUUCCCAGGAAGCGGUAGAAUGUGUUGAUCUGGGAAGGAACACCAAACGCGAAGGCAGUGCUCUUGCACGUACCUGACAUUGAGGUGCGAAAGCGUGGGGAGCAAAAGGGAUUAGAUACCCCUGUAGUCCACGCUGUCAACGAUGACCAUUCCCUAUAUUCCUGAGAUUCAGGGAUGUGGGUUAGCUAACGCGGUAAAUGGUCCGCCUGAGGAGUACGAUCGCAAGAUUAAAACUCAAAGGAAUAGACGGGGGCUCACACAAGUGGUGGAACAUGUGGUUUAAUUCGAUACUACGCGCAUAACCUUACCAGUUCUUGACAUGAUCCCUAUGGAUCACAG
This 779-nucleotide ribosomal RNA is filed under the name uncultured organism. RNAcentral describes it as "bacterial SSU rRNA". It matches the Rfam family "Bacterial small subunit ribosomal RNA", at positions 210 to 1005 of the family's 1533-position model. The record is from RNAcentral.